CUUGGCGGCCAUAGCGCGGUGGUCCCACCUGAUCCCAUGCCGAACUCAGAAGUGAAACGCCGUAGCG
This 67-nucleotide ribosomal RNA is filed under the name Proteus mirabilis. RNAcentral also lists the same sequence under 1 other name. Lineage: Bacteria; Pseudomonadati; Pseudomonadota; Gammaproteobacteria; Enterobacterales; Morganellaceae. The record is from RNAcentral.